RNAcentral lists this ribosomal RNA (297 nucleotides) under uncultured bacterium. RNAcentral's name for it is "partial 16S ribosomal RNA". It matches the Rfam family "Bacterial small subunit ribosomal RNA", at positions 30 to 329 of the family's 1533-position model. The record is from RNAcentral.
AUUGAACGCUGGCGGCAUGCCUUACACAUGCAAGUCGAACGGCAGCACGGGAGCAAUCCUGGUGGCGAGUGGCGAACGGGUGAGUAAUAUAUCGGAACGUGCCCAGUCUGGGGAUAACGUAGCGAAAGCUACGCUAAUACCGCAUACGAUCUAUGGAUGAAAGCGGGGGAUCGCAAGACCUCGCGCGAUUGGAGCGGCCGAUAUCAGAUUAGGUAGUUGGUGAGGUAAAGGCUCACCAAGCCGACGAUCUGUAGCUGGUCUGAGAGGACGACCAGCCACACUGGGACUGAGACACGG